Molecule: ribosomal RNA, 457 nt
Filed under: uncultured bacterium
Lineage: Bacteria
Description: bacterial SSU rRNA
Rfam family: Bacterial small subunit ribosomal RNA
Source: RNAcentral
ACUCCUACGGGAGGCAGCAGUGGGAAUAUUGCACAAUGGGCGGAAGCCUGACGCAGCGACGCCGCGUGGGGGAUGACGGCCUUCGGGUUGUAAAACCUCUUUCGCCAUCGACGAAGCCUUUUAGGUGACGGUAGGUGGAGAAGAAGCACCGGCCAACUACGUGCCAGCAGCCGCGGUAACACGUAGGGUGCGAGCGUUGUCCGGAAUUAUUGGGCGUAAAGAGCUCGUAGGCGGUGUGUCGCGUCGGCCGUGAAAACUUGGGGCUUAACUCUGAGCGUGCGGUCGAUACGGGCAUCACUUGAGUUCGGCAGGGGAGACUGGAAUUCCUGGUGUAGCGGUGAAAUGCGCAGAUAUCAGGAGGAACACCGGUGGCGAAGGCGGGUCUCUGGGCCGAUACUGACGCUGAGGAGCGAAAGCGUGGGGAGCGAACAGGAUUAGAUACCCUGAUAGGCUCUGC